Molecule: long non-coding RNA, 1191 nt
Filed under: Felis catus (domestic cat)
Lineage: Eukaryota; Metazoa; Chordata; Mammalia; Carnivora; Felidae
Description: lncRNA (ENSFCAG00000047575.1)
Source: RNAcentral
GUCGGGCCGGGAAUAUCUAUCUUGGGGUGUUGCACGCGGCAGAGGCGCAGGGAGUCUAAGUGAGAGUAUUUCAUGCUGACGCCACGGCGGGGAAGGGGAUGCUUCCUGGAAGCGGGGGCUGCGCUGAGGUCCCGGAAGGAGCUGCCUUGGCAAAGUCCACAGGGGCUUCGGGGCCUCCGUCGCCCCUAAACCAGGCCGACGACUGGGCUCCGGGGUCUUCUUGGUUCCCAGUCAGUGGUGGCGACCGGGGUCGGGGGCAUCCGACAGUUCCCGUGAUUUGUUCCGCAGGCAAGAAGAGCGGAAAGAGAAAGACCUGCCCCGGAAAUUACCCGGGAGACCCCAGCGGAAGCCGCAGAGCGCCUGCAGCGAACCCGCGGACUCGGGCGCCCACCUGCGGCGCCCCACCAGGCCGUUGCCCGUCCAAACCAAUACGAAGCCAUCUGUCCUGGGCCCUGUCCCCACGUGUCAGCCACCUGCUAGGACAGCUGACAGGCGGUCGUCCUGCCCUACACGGCCCCUCUAUAAAGCCCCUGAAGUGCGUGCUUGUGAACCAGCCCGAAGAUGCGGGGCGGACUUGCCCUGCGAAGAUCCAAAGAGCUCCUGCCGGGACCAGGCUCUCAUUUCCAAGUCGACAGCCGGCUGGCCUGAGGUUUCCUCCCGUGAUGUUCCCCCGUCGGCCAGGAAGACACCUGCGCUGGGUCCUGUGUGUCACCGCCAGGCACAAGCCAAGCAUCCUCCUGUGGACUCAAAGCCCCGCCCACAGCCUGCCCCGGGAACACAUGGCCAGAGCUCCAAAGUCAGCAUCCAGGCACAGGGGAAGAGGUCUCCCCAGGUCCCCAUGCAGCCUUCCCAGAACCCUCCAAAGAAAGCCAGAUUCAACUUCUUCUAACCCCCCUCCCAGGUGGGUCUCAGUGACCUGGUCUGGGGGUUGUCCCGGUCGCAGCUUCCCCCAGUAUCCAAACAGAUACUUCAAGUGACUGGGAAGAUACCAGUCCUAAUGCCCAGUCUUGAACGCCAGGCUCCACCUGACUCACCUGGUCUGAGCCCCGUUCAGACCUGUGCUGUCCCCUAACCCUGACCACCCAGGCAUGUUCCAGGCCAGCAGGGGCGAGGAUGGGACAUGAGAUGGGACAGGGCGUGGCAGAGCUCCAGGUUUUCCACUGUUCUGUCUCCCUCUGGAGAAGUCUCCAC